CGGGCCUGGGAUUGCCUCAGUAGCGGCGAGUGAAGCGGCAAGAGCUCAGAUUUGAAAUCGUGCUUUGCGGCACGAGUUGUAGAUUGCAGGUUGGAGUCUGUGUGGAAGGCGGUGUCCAAGUCCCUUGGAACAGGGCGCCCAGGAGGGUGAGAGCCCCGUGGGAUGCCGGCGGAAGCAGUGAGGCCCUUCUGACGAGUCGAGUUGUUUGGGAAU
Molecule: ribosomal RNA, 213 nt
Filed under: Pichia kudriavzevii
Lineage: Eukaryota; Fungi; Ascomycota; Pichiomycetes; Pichiales; Pichiaceae
Description: partial 26S ribosomal RNA
Rfam family: Eukaryotic large subunit ribosomal RNA
Source: RNAcentral